Molecule: ribosomal RNA, 468 nt
Filed under: uncultured bacterium
Lineage: Bacteria
Description: partial 16S ribosomal RNA
Rfam family: Bacterial small subunit ribosomal RNA
Source: RNAcentral
GACGAACGCUGGCGGCGUGCUUAACACAUGCAAGUCGAACGGAAAGGCCCUGCUUUUGUGGGGUGCUCGAGUGGCGAACGGGUGAGUAACACGUGAGUAACCUGCCCUUGACUUUGGGAUAACUUCAGGAAACUGGGGCUAAUACCGGAUAGGAGCUCCUGCUGCAUGGUGGGGGUUGGAAAGUUUCGGCGGUUGGGGAUGGACUCGCGGCUUAUCAGCGUGUUGGUGGGGUAGGGGCUCACCGAGGCUUUGACGGGUAGCCGGCCCGAGAGGGGGGCCGGCGACAUUGGGACUGAGAGACGGCCCAGACUCCUACGGGAGGCAGCAGUGGGGAAUAUUGCACAAUGGGCGGAAGCCUGAUGCAGCAACGCCGCGUGCGGGAUGACGGCCUUCGGGUUGUAAACCGCUUUCGCCUGUGACGAAGCGUGAGUGACGGUAAUGGGUAAAGAAGCACCGGCUAACUACGUG